GUGGUGUUCAAGAGUUCCGGAGGUUGGUUGGAAAUAAAGCGAAGUUUUUUAUAAUAGAGGUUUGGGACGAGAUUGAUUGACGGAGCGCUAACAUUCUGUUAGUUUCCUUGGACGGUGCAGCGAAUAAAAAUUAAUUAACCUUUUUCCAUAUUAAAAAGAGUAAGUAAACCUACUUGGUGAGCGCAUGGGUUGUGGCAGCGACAACUGACACAUCUGCCCACAUUUAUUAAAAUAAUAAUAAUAAAUAUUUUGUUUAAAUUAUUUUAUUUUAUCAAAAUAAAAAAAUAUAUUUGAUCGGAGGAUGUUAGACGCCACAAUAGGAUAGAAAGUAGAGAAUGACUCCCGCUCUAUGUGAUCAGAGAGCCUAGAUUCCACUUUAAUUACAAUUACAAGGAGGAUAAGAAUGCCCAAAUAU
This 415-nucleotide long non-coding RNA is filed under the name Elaeis guineensis (African oil palm). Its description in RNAcentral is "long non-coding RNA (EGUI_LNC000106)". Lineage: Eukaryota; Viridiplantae; Streptophyta; Magnoliopsida; Arecales; Arecaceae. The record is from RNAcentral.